This 467-nucleotide unclassified non-coding RNA is filed under the name Hevea brasiliensis (rubber tree). Lineage: Eukaryota; Viridiplantae; Streptophyta; Magnoliopsida; Malpighiales; Euphorbiaceae. The record is from RNAcentral.
GGCCAAAAAAACCAAAGCGCUCAUAUAUUAAAAUUAGGGUCGGAUACAUGUACUAAUAAAUUAAAAAGAGGGUGUAUACAUUAAUGGAGGGCCAGAAUACAUUAAUGGCCAAAAAAUCAAAACGCCGAUACAUUGAAAAGAGAGUCCGAUACAUGCGCUGAUACAAUAAAAAAAAAGAUCGGAUACAUUAAUGAUAUUUUUUACUCAAGAGAAAAAUGAGUGAUUUUGGAGAUCUGUAAAACUUUUAGGAAAUAUUAGUAAUAAGUAAACUAAAAGGUGAAAAUUCUGUAAUUAAAUCAAAACUGAAUAAUUAGACAUACUUUACUAUCAUAUAUGCUGGCUAUUAAUACUUGCAUUUUCAAAAUAUUACGUAUUUUACAAUAACUAAUUAAGAGUUUCUUACAUAUGUUACACUUAGAUGCAUGUAUCUUUGCUACUAGAUACAACAAAUUAGGGACAGAGGCGAG